CAAAACAACACAUUAUAGCUCACAUAACUUUACACAUAACAUCACACAUGACACCAAACCAAAACAACACAUUAUAGCUCACUUAACUUAACACAACACCACAAACUCCUUAUGUCACACUCAACACCACACCAGAAAAAAAAUCUACACACCACACAUAAGACCACACCACACAUGACACCAAACAUAACACCACAUAUCACAGAUGUUACCACAUAUAACACAACACAUGACACCUAAUCACCACAUGUCACAAUACCACACAUCACACCAAUCAUAAACCACCACAGCACAAAUGACACUUCAAACCCCAUCAAACAAGACACCACUCAUAAUACCACACGCCACACCACAAAUGACACAAAAUGUACUACAGACGCUACUGAAAGGUACCCGUGUUUAAGCCUGACAUCAUUAUUUGGUAGCAUGAAAGUUUUGCUUGUUAAACAAUUGUGAUACAAUUAUAAACUAUAUACAUACAGAGAGAGAGACAGAGAGAGAACAAACAGAUUAGAUGGAAAGAUUGGGAGAGAGAAAUGGACAAAGAGAGAGAAAGUGACUGAAUGAGUUCGUACAAACUAGAUAUAUAUUUAACCAAGUGCGUUGUAGCGGGCAGCUGAAUGCCCCUCUAGUGAAAAAAAAAUUAAAUGGGGGAUAUUUCCCCUUUGCAUUUAUGCUAUAAAAAAUGUGUAUAUGUAUACCAAAGGGUUGUAACUGUGUAUUUAAAAAGCCUAGUUUAUUGUUUUAAGAGUUGUCUACCGUUGAAUGUGAUACUGUUCAGUGCAGCAUGUGAUAUUUAUAAAAUGACAGUAUUUCAUCAACAUUCUAUCAAUAUUCUUUGAAUUUUCCACUUGGAUGACAAAAAAAU
Biomphalaria pfeifferi is the source of this 868-nucleotide non-coding RNA. The record is from the annotation of a GenBank genome assembly. NCBI's taxonomy places the organism in Eukaryota, Metazoa, Mollusca, Gastropoda, Planorbidae.